AACAUUGUCAGCAUUAAGGCAAGUUGCAGUGUUCAACAAAAGGAAAUCCGAUAUUUGCGAGGGAUAAAAAAAAUUAAUACAAUUUAUUCCCAAUCAACUUAUUUUAAAGACGAAACAGUCAGUAGAAAACAAGCUCUCUUGAAAGAUACUUUGUAUCUGAUCAAAAGAGGUAAAUACUUAUAUAAUAUUGAAAAGUAUCAUUGUACUGUAUAAAGUUAUAUAAUAAGAACUUAAGAUAUUUAGCUAUAUAAUAUUGUAAACAUAAGUCGAGCAUUCUCUUGCUCGUUAGAUUUCUUAUAUUAUUCAGUUUCAGCAGCUUAAAAACAACAUCCUCUAUCUUUAAAACAACUUUUAAAAAAGAAGAAAAUUCUCUUUAUAUCUUUGCAUAGUAUCAUACAUGGAUUAUCAGGCAUGACAAUGAAUCUGAUAAUCGAUUAUAUUUCUACAUUGAAUCUAAAAAAAAAAUUAAAAAAAAUUCAUUUUACCCUUUACUACGUAGGGUCAUUUGUUUUUCCAGUCACAAUGGGUCUUUAAAUAAGCCAAAAUCAAGACAUUCUUCUUUUCUUUAAUGGUUAUGAAAGUCGAAGCACCAUGUACCGUUAUGUCUCAUUACAAUUAACUCUGCUUUAGUAGUGUCAAACAGUGUAAAUAAUUGAAAUAAAACGGUUUCUGCAUAACAUUGAAAGUAUAAACUGACAGCUUGCUUUUUCUCAAUUCCAUUAACAUGAUAU
This is a non-coding RNA of Schizosaccharomyces pombe (fission yeast), 731 nucleotides long. NCBI's taxonomy places the organism in Eukaryota, Fungi, Ascomycota, Schizosaccharomycetes, Schizosaccharomycetales, Schizosaccharomycetaceae. The record is from the annotation of a GenBank genome assembly.